CUCUCAGUGGCGAAGUUGUUAGCGCACGAGCCCCAGUCAGCGCGAGACGCGGGUUCGAAUCCCGCCUGAGACG
This 73-nucleotide transfer RNA is filed under the name Nippostrongylus brasiliensis. It matches the Rfam family "tRNA". From Rfam's summary of the family: Transfer RNA (tRNA) molecules are approximately 80 nucleotides in length. Their secondary structure includes four short double-helical elements and three loops (D, anti-codon, and T loops). Further hydrogen bonds mediate the characteristic L-shaped molecular structure. tRNAs have two regions of fundamental functional importance: the anti-codon, which is responsible for specific mRNA codon recognition, and the 3' end, to which the tRNAs corresponding amino acid is attached (by aminoacyl-tRNA synthetases). tRNAs cope with the degeneracy of the genetic code in two manners: having more than one tRNA (with a specific anti-codon) for a particular amino acid; and 'wobble' base-pairing, i.e. permitting non-standard base-pairing at the 3rd anti-codon position. The record is from Rfam by way of RNAcentral. Lineage: Eukaryota; Metazoa; Nematoda; Chromadorea; Rhabditida; Heligmosomidae.